Molecule: transfer RNA, 72 nt
Filed under: Ictidomys tridecemlineatus (thirteen-lined ground squirrel)
Lineage: Eukaryota; Metazoa; Chordata; Mammalia; Rodentia; Sciuridae
Description: Spermophilus tridecemlineatus (thirteen-lined ground squirrel) tRNA
Rfam family: tRNA
About the family: Transfer RNA (tRNA) molecules are approximately 80 nucleotides in length. Their secondary structure includes four short double-helical elements and three loops (D, anti-codon, and T loops).
Source: Rfam by way of RNAcentral
UGGAGUAUAGCUCAGUGAUAGAGCACUUGCCUAGCAUGCACAAGUGCCUGGGUUUAAUCCCCAGGACUCUAC